ACUGCUAUGCUUUCACCAACAGGUCCAGUUUGGAUUCCGGCUCAGUGUGUGAGACCUAUCAAUUAUUAAUGAACUAGUCAGGGACUUCACAACCUGAUCCGCAAGUUGCAUUUCAUGCUGGAUGAAGAGAGUCCCAUCAAACAAGAGGGCAAUGAUUACUAUCCUUGAAAGAGAAGAAACAUUAAAAGAGAAUUCCAAGCUACUAGACAUCCAGUGACUUGGGGGAAAUACAAAAUUAUUACCAGCAUCAGCUCAACAGUUUUUGGCUUAAAUGGGAUUAAAAUGUACUCCAGUCACUACUUUAAUUGCUAAACCCACACAAAAUUCUGUAAAUGCUUUGGUUUUGACAAUAAUGUUUUUCUGUUGUACCCCAGCUGUGAAAAUUCAGUACAAACUCCUUGACUUCUAAAACCCAUUAUAAUAUCUAGGUUUGCUUGGCUGAAAUUGUUAUAUACCUGCAAAAAUGUCUCAUGGUACCCAUUGUUGUCUUGGCAGACUGUUUUUACCAUCUUCAGGAUUUAAUAGGCCACCAUCCUGCACAAAGCAUCUUUAAAAGGUCUAUUCCCCUUGAUAAAAACUGUGCAGAUUCAGUGAGCAUUCUCUCUAAGGCAAAAUUUGACGUUUUGAUGUUUUCCUUAGUGGGUAUCCCUGGACUAGCUGUUAGGGCUUACAAAACCACUAUAAAACUGGCCUAUGCUAUAGUAAAAAAAUAUUAAUCAUAUCUCUGUGGCAAGUAAUAUACUUAAUGAAGAACAAAAGCAACAUCAUCAAGCCAUACUUGACAAUCAGGCCACAAUUAAUUAUUUGCUAUUAUUACAUCAUAAAGGGUGUCAGGAGAUUAAUAAUAUAUGUUGCUUUAAUUUAAGUGAUAAUAAUAAUUCUGUUUCAAAGGAGAUAAAUUACCUUAAAGAUAUUGUUAAAAAGAUCCAGCCACAUGAUGGAGGUUUAGACCUAUUGGAUUGGCUAACUUCGUGGUUACCCAACUUUACUUGGGUCAAACAAUUAUUCAUAGAUGGAAGUUUACUAACACUGGGAUUGUUAUGUUGUCCUUGCUGUUGUCAAUGCCCACCCUAUAUUUUUGACUCUACCAGUAUUAAAAAGAAAACAGACAUUAUUCAUCCAAAAGGCCUUAAAAAACAAGAAAGGGGAAAUGUGAGGGUUCUGUGUAGGGAUUGGGGUCCCUGAUGACUGCAUUGCUAUGGCACGCUUGGUGCCUGGGAAAGUUUCUGUGCAAAGGCAUAGGAUACCCAUUGCUAUGGUAAUGCCCUCCAUGCUAGAAUCUUAUCAGCUUCUACCUUAAUCUUGGGUACAUAACUCCUGGGAAAGGAACUUACUUGCUAGAUAACUACAAUGUUUUGCCAAGCUCUGGUGUUCCUGGAUCUGCCUGCUUAACAGUAACUUUAGCCAAUGGACUUUUUUGAAAGCUGCACAAAGCUCCUGACAUUGCAUAUUGUAACUGUGAAAUGUAACUGCAACUGCAGAAUAAGAAACCUGACUGGUACUCUAAACAAUAAUGUAGUUAUGGGACUAAUGACCUAAUGUAACCUAUUGAUAUAAAUAAAGUUUGGCCUCUUGGUUUCUUAGCCAC
This 1588-nucleotide long non-coding RNA is filed under the name Marmota monax (woodchuck). Lineage: Eukaryota; Metazoa; Chordata; Mammalia; Rodentia; Sciuridae. The record is from RNAcentral.